Molecule: long non-coding RNA, 2760 nt
Organism: Zea mays
Lineage: Eukaryota; Viridiplantae; Streptophyta; Magnoliopsida; Poales; Poaceae
Exons: 3
Source: RefSeq, a predicted model, not a curated record
UUAAGGCCUUCUUUGGAUCAUAGGAACUUUAUAGAAAUUUCAGAGGAUUUAGUUCCUAAGGAAAAAAUCCUAGAAGACUCCUUUGGCUGAUACAAAAAGAGAGGAAAAUUCCCCUAGGAUUUAAUCCCAUCACAAGGAUUCCAUAGGAAAAAUAAAAAGAGCUUCAACCUCAUGGAAAAUUUCCUGGCGCCAAAAGCGAACGCUCCCGCGCUUCCUUGGCUCUCACGCGACUUGUCUGCUUCCUCCACCACGUAACAUAAAAAAACACGGACCGAUCAUCAGAGAAAAAAAAAGUCUGGACCGACUCUCUCCGUCUCUCGUCCCUGUCGCCGCACUUCGUCCCCAUCGUUGGUCCCAGCAGCGAGGACCUCCUCAAUGAGUACACACGCGCCCAGAGAUAUACAAGCUCGUUUGUGGUGUUCUUCCCCAAUAGCAAGGUAAGUUUCCUUUUUCUUCAUUUACCAAACCCUAUAAAUCACAUUUUAUUUAGAUUUUGGAAGUUUUCUUUGUACUGGUACUGGAGUUUGAAUGGAUCUAGAGAUUUGGGAGCAAUCUAUUUUCGUUUUUCUUGAAGUAGAUCGGGAUAUUUGGGAAUAACUUGUACGGGGGACUCUCGUCCAUCCGCUACAGAUUGGGAGAUUUGGGAAGGAGCCACACUCGUCACCUGAACGCACACACGGACGGCCUGCAGGUACAGGUAGCGGAUCUGCAGCACCUGCUACUCGUCCAGUCACCCGUCCGGCUCCAGCAGCACUCUUCUGCCGCCAGGAGGAUUGCACACACCAAACAUAUGUGUGAGAUGUAGAACUGCCCAUUUGUGUUUGGCCAAAACAAUUUUAAGACGUUUAAUUCUACAACUUCCAGAGAAGAAAAAUCCCCACUUUUCAGUAUGGAGCUACCUUCAUGAUCGGUGGUCACAUAUUUGUCACUUAAUAUUCACUUGAUCUUAUAGUAAAAUAGAUUAGAUAUUUCUAGUUCCUAUUUGAUGUUGUAUAUAUCAUUGUAUUAGGGAACGUGUCUUAUCUAAUGGAGGAGGCCGUAACCCUCAGUCGCUUGUUGAUGUUGACGGGGACCAUGGGUCUGCAACAGCUACUCAAGAAAUAGGUGCCCCAAAGAGAGCCAAGUGGAUCCAUGAGAGGAAGUUGUUCCUUAUUCAGCUACUAAAGGAUCACGAUGUGCCGGGUUUUAGAACACAAAAUGCUUGGUGUAAGGAGGCAUGGAACAACAUUGUUCGUCGCUUGAAUGAAAAAUUUGGUACAUCGUAUACUAUUGGCCAAGUCAAACAGAAGGAGCAAGAUUUGAAGAAAGAUUAUCGCAGUGUUAAAGAAUUGGUGGAGCAAAGUGGUUUUGGAUGGAAUGGUGAGAGAAUGAUGGUGGAAGCACCAGAUAGUGUUUGGGCAUCUUUUGCUGCUCGCAAGAAUAACGAGUCAGCCCUCCAUUGGAGAGACAAGUCAUUCCCAUACUAUGAUGAUUUAUCAAAGCUGUAUGAUGGUCGUUAUGCUGAAGGAAGAACUCGUCAAGGUAUGGAUCAUUAUGCAAACAAGACGAAGAAAGCAUCGGCUCCUGGAGGACAAGCAACAACUGUAGCAGAAACAUAUCAGUCACCAUCUCCUACUUUAAAUGGUGUAGAUGAAUUGGGAUUGCAAUUUUCUUUUGAUGAAGAAAUUGAGGGAAAUUUGGGCUUAUCACAAUACCCAUCUGCUUAGGUUCAUGAAAAGGAAGUCCCACCUAGUUCCACACAAAUAACUUCAGAGCUUCCUGAUUCUCGACGUGGAAAGAAGAAAAAAAACAAAUCUGCUAGCCCUCCUGAUGGAUUUCAUGAAAGAUACCUAAAACUAAAGAAAGAAGAAAUAGAUCGAUUUGCUGCCAUUGAAGAGAAGAAAUUGGAAGAUCCUUACAGCAUCAACAAGUGUAUUACUGUGCUUGAAGAUUUGGAUGGUCUGCAAGUGGGAGAUCUAUUGAUGGCAUCUGAUAUAUUCAAGAUUAAGGAUAACAGGGAAGUAUUCUUAUCAUUUAAAAAUGACGCAUUAAGAUUAGCUUGGAUUACAAGGGAGAUUGGUAAGAUAGCAGAUCACCAGAAUUAGAAAUAGAAAGCAAGUAAGGCAUCUAAUCUUUUGGUAUAAUUUAGAGCCUCUAAUCUUUUGGCAAGCAAAGGUUCUAAUCUUUUGGUAAGUAGAACAUGCUUUUUACUAAGCUGACCUGGGUAGUCUGUGUUUGUUAUGUAUUUUGGUAAGGAGGUAACCUUAUCUCAAGUUCUGGACUCCAAUCAUGUCUAAGAAGAUAAAUCGAUAUGGAAAUAUAUUAUCAUAUAAAGAUUGCGUAGUUUACAUUAUGUUACAUUAUGUUAAAUUAUCAUAGAAUAAAUUAUCAAUAAUAUGUUAUGUAUUUUGUACUCAUACCUGGAAAAAGGGGUAAAAUUGGGGUCUGCUUAAGAUUGGAUGGGGUUGCAAGGAAGGUGGACAUAUGUAGACACAUGUGAGCUGUGUGAUUGCAUCAAGAACCGCUGCAAAGUGUCGACUAAUUGUUUCUCCACUAUGUUGAAAAAAUUCUUGUAAGGUUUCAUUACUUGCAUUUUUUGCCAUUGCAUAUAAGAAAAUAGCAACUUGCUCUUCCACUGCAAUUGCUCUUGUAUCAGCAAGGAGAUUUUUUCACGCAAUUUAUUGACCAAGGCUUGAAAAAUUCCAACCUCCAUUCGGAAAUGUCUUUUGCAUAAACUCUCAUGUCCUGUUAAUAUCUCUGUAACUCGUCGAGCCCCUGUCA